This 97-nucleotide microRNA precursor is filed under the name Camelus bactrianus (Bactrian camel). Its description in RNAcentral is "mir-544 microRNA precursor family". It matches the Rfam family "mir-544 microRNA precursor family". The record is from Rfam by way of RNAcentral. RNAcentral also lists the same sequence under 2 other names. Lineage: Eukaryota; Metazoa; Chordata; Mammalia; Artiodactyla; Camelidae.
AUCACCUGGGGACCUUGUUAAAAUGCAGAUUCUGAUUCAGGAUGUCUUUGGUCAGUCCGAGAUUCUGAAUUUCUAACAAGCUCCCAGGUAGAGUUGA